Molecule: ribosomal RNA, 435 nt
Filed under: uncultured bacterium
Lineage: Bacteria
Description: partial 16S ribosomal RNA
Rfam family: Bacterial small subunit ribosomal RNA
Source: RNAcentral
AGCGAACGCUGGCGGCAGGCUUAACACAUGCAAGUCGAGCGGGCACUUUCGGGUGUCAGCGGCGGACGGGUGAGUAACGCGUGGGAACGUGCCCUCUGGUUCGGAAUAACUCAGGGAAACUUGAGCUAAUACCGGAUACGCCCUUUUGGGGAAAGGCUUGCUGCCGGAGGAUCGGCCCGCGUCUGAUUAGCUAGUUGGUGAGGUAACGGCUCACCAAGGCGACGAUCAGUAGCUGGUCUGAGAGGAUGAUCAGCCACACUGGGACUGAGACACGGCCCAGACUCCUACGGGAGGCAGCAGUGGGGAAUAUUGGACAAUGGGCGCAAGCCUGAUCCAGCCAUGCCGCGUGAGUGAUGAAGGCCUUAGGGUUGUAAAGCUCUUCUAUCCGGGACGAUAAUGACGGUACCGGAGGAAUAAGCCCCGGCUAACUUCGUG